RNAcentral lists this ribosomal RNA (253 nucleotides) under uncultured bacterium. Its description in RNAcentral is "partial 16S ribosomal RNA". It matches the Rfam family "Bacterial small subunit ribosomal RNA", at positions 524 to 776 of the family's 1533-position model. The record is from RNAcentral.
UACAGAGGGUGCAAGCGUUACUCGGAAUUACUGGGCGUAAGGCGUGCGUAGGUGGUGAGUUAAGUCUGUCGUGAAAGCCCCGGGCUCAACCUGGGAAUGGCGAUGGAUACUGGCUCGCUAGAGUGCGGUAGAGGAGAGUGGAAUUCCCGGUGUAGCAGUGAAAUGCGUAGAGAUCGGGAGGAACAUCAGUUGCGAAGGCGGCUCUCUGGACCAGCACUGACACUGAGGCACGAAAGCGUGGGGAGCAAACAGG